GUGCCAGCCGCUGCGGUAAUACGAAGGGGGCUAGCGUUGUUCGGAAUUACUGGGCGUAAAGCGCACGUAGGCGGGUAUUUAAGUCAGGGGUGAAAUCCCGGAGCUCAACUCCGGAACUGCCUUUGAUACUGGGUACCUGGAGUGUGGAAGAGGUGAGUGGAAUUCCGAGUGUAGAGGUGAAAUUCGUAGAUAUUCGGAGGAACACCAGUGGCGAAGGCGGCUCACUGGUCCAUUACUGACGCUGAGGUGCGAAAGCGGUGGGAGCAAACAGGAUUAAGAUACCCUGGUAGUCCACGCCGUAAACGAUGAAUGUU
RNAcentral lists this ribosomal RNA (314 nucleotides) under uncultured Shinella sp. RNAcentral's name for it is "bacterial SSU rRNA". It matches the Rfam family "Bacterial small subunit ribosomal RNA", at positions 505 to 817 of the family's 1533-position model. Lineage: Bacteria; Pseudomonadati; Pseudomonadota; Alphaproteobacteria; Hyphomicrobiales; Rhizobiaceae. The record is from RNAcentral.